This 276-nucleotide ribosomal RNA is filed under the name Triticum aestivum (bread wheat). RNAcentral's name for it is "partial small subunit ribosomal RNA". Lineage: Eukaryota; Viridiplantae; Streptophyta; Magnoliopsida; Poales; Poaceae. The record is from RNAcentral.
GAUGGAUACAGAAAGGUCCACUAGAUGUCGUGGGACCGUAUGACAAAACCGAAAAGGGAUGGGGGUAUUAGUUUCAGAUAAAUGCACCUCUUUAACUAGGCACUCCUCGCAAAGCAAGGGUGGAGACUGAUCCAGAACCCUGAUAGCCUCUGUGCGAGAGUGCUUAAGUCAAAGUACUACCCUAAUGGAAAUAUCCUAGACACCGUCUAUGCGUCAUAUGUUUCACCGGUGUGGAGGGGCAUCGAGUUUGGUUUGCAGCUUCUGAAAAAGGGAUAA